This 220-nucleotide unclassified non-coding RNA is filed under the name Hevea brasiliensis (rubber tree). The record is from RNAcentral. Lineage: Eukaryota; Viridiplantae; Streptophyta; Magnoliopsida; Malpighiales; Euphorbiaceae.
GCUUGAGCAGUUAUAUAAUAAAUUUUAGAAUUUAUCUUUGAUCUGUGUAAAUCUUUGUAAUGUAAAACUGUUAUUUUUAUUUAAUGAAAUAUUCAAGUUUCUUUUUAUAUUUUUCAAAUAAUGAAUUGUUGAGAUUGAGACUGUUGAAAAUUGAGUUGAGUUGAAAAUAUUGGAGUUGGGGUUGAGAUAUAUAUAUUUGGAGUAUUUUCACAGGUUUUUG